GCGCAAUUUGCGAUAUGUCGCAUACUUAAAUAUUAAAAAAAAAAUUCCUAAAUUCUUUCUUUCAAUUUAUUUCAAAUGUGAUGUAAUGCAAUUACGUAAAUGAUGCAUUCUUCUAAAAUAACCACUUCUCUGUGGUUUUGGUUUUCAUUUUAUGCGAUUGUUUAUUCUUUCGAUUCAGAUGAACCUGUUACCGAAAGCGGAGAACUUUACGAACUUGAUUUUGGUGACCUUGAUAUCAGAGUGGGAAGAAUUUUUUGGGUAGAUGUUCAUAUAAACGAUUUAGGGCAUUUUCACAUGAAAGUGGAUUUUAAUAAUAGUAUCAAGUUGACUUGUGUGUGCGAAAUAGCGACUUACUUGAGGGUGGAAGACUUCAGAAAUCGUUUAUGUGUUUUCAUUAUCAACGUAAAACCUCUCAAAAUUAUGGGUCCUAUAACUCAAGCAAUGAUUUUAUCUACUGUGGUAGAUGAUUGGUGGCUCAAUGUCAUUGAUCCUCCCGAGGGUAGCGUAGAGGGUGAUAUCGUUUAUGUUGAAGGAUACGAAUACGAACCUCUUCCUGAAAUCGAUACCUCGAAGUCAAAUUUCUGGAAAUUAAUGUCUUUCAUGAGAGUGAACGAAGAAGGUGUCGUAACCUAUAAAAACAUAUCUUUGAAUGUUGCUGGAAAAGGACCCGCAACUACGGAAAAUCUCAAUAAUAUCGAAUUAAGGAAUGAGUUUUAAAAUUUUAAUAAACGUUUACACGUGCAUUUUUUUCAAUCAUUCGCCGAAUUCUGUUCUUUUUUUAUAUCACAAUGCUCAAGGAUUACAACUACCUACUUGAUAGCUUUUUAAAAUUAGUAUUUGGUACCUACUUAAAAAAUACAGUUCUGUUAAUCUUUAGAAAUGCUUUCUUUCAUUUUUCUGGUCAAAAGUACAAUAGGUAUACCUACUUGGAGUUGAGAAAGAAUCUCUUUAUUCGUUACCAACGCAGAUUGGUGUUGUGCAACUUUAAAUUCUUCUAUACUUUUUUUCAAUUCGAAGCUUACCUAUUUCAGUCAUUUUUCUAUUAAAAAGUAUUACAGUACGUGUUGGCUCAAGAAAUGGGCUACAUUUUCCAGAAAAAAUUGGAAAUCUCCUUCCCCUUUAUAAACUAUAGGCACCUACUUAUAUUCAAAGAGAAAUUUCAGUCCUUUAAAUCAAUAAAACCUGUUAGGUAGUAAUUUUCGAUAUUAAAUCGAUGAUUUUAGAUUAGGUAACUAUUUAAUCAAUAAUAAUAUUCUCAGUAACUCAAUUCAAGUUGCAAAAAAGGAUGACGUUGAAAGAAAACUUCAAUUUUUUGUGUUUUUUGUUUUGUGUAACAAGUUUAUCGUAUGGUCAAAAUGAACAGAAAGAAACAGAAGUUGGUUUUGGUUUACUUGAUAUAAGAAUAGGAAAAAUUGUGCGUGUAGAAAACAUUCCUCAAACGAGUGACUAUUAUCAGUUGAAAGUUCGGUUUGGUGAUAUGCCAGUUAGAACCAUCGUUAGUGGUUUGGCGGAAAUCAUGAAGAUAGACGAGUUUGAAGGCCGUCUAACGCCUUUUUUACUGAACAUAGAUCCUCAGAACAUAUAUAAUAUCAGUUCUCAUGGUUCGGUCUUGUACACUCAAGGCCCUGAUAGUGAAGAAGGCUAUACAAUGACCGAGUUGUUGAAUCCUCCUUUAGGAGCUCAACCAAACGAUGUGGUUUUGAUUGAAGGAAUAAAUUACGAGCCUAAAACGUCUUUGGAUUUUGCCACGACAGAAAAAAUUUUCCAAGAUUUGACUAUUGAUAUGAACAGAAUUGCCAAAUAUCAGAGAAAGAAAUAUUUGAAUGUCAGUGGCAAAGGAAUUUUGCUGUCAACAUACGUGAAAGCUGCCCCUAUCAUAUGUGAAAGCUGUCCUAAUAAUCCUGGCUUGAAAAAAGAAUUCAUUGUAAAAAAGAAAAACAUUAAGGAGCUUAAUGAAUUGUUCAAUUUAUAACUGAACAAGGUUUGCUUUUUUGUUUAUUUUAAUCUCGUAUGAAUUAUUAUUAUUUAGGCUAUUAAGUAUUUAUUUAUGUAUUGUUGUUGCUGCUUUUUUAUUUUUUUGUUCUUCAAUUUUUUUGUUUGUUUGAAAUUAGUACCUACAAUUUUUAAUUGAUUAGUAACUACAUAAUUAAUGGCGUAGGUAAAUAUCCAAUUGUAAAUUUAAUAUCACUUGCUUCAUUUUACAUUUUUUUUAAGUUUAAAAAAACAUGCAAAAGUUUUCAGAAAAAAUAAAUUAGGCUGUGCCACUGUU
Molecule: RNA transcript, 2269 nt
Organism: Planococcus citri (citrus mealybug)
Lineage: Eukaryota; Metazoa; Arthropoda; Insecta; Hemiptera; Pseudococcidae
Gene name: aminoacyl tRNA synthase complex-interacting multifunctional protein 1-like
Exons: 5
Source: RefSeq, a predicted model, not a curated record